This 253-nucleotide ribosomal RNA is filed under the name uncultured bacterium. RNAcentral's name for it is "partial 16S ribosomal RNA". It matches the Rfam family "Bacterial small subunit ribosomal RNA", at positions 524 to 776 of the family's 1533-position model. The record is from RNAcentral.
UACAGGGGGUGCAAACGUUGCUCGGAAUCAUUGGGCGUAAAGAGCUCGUAGGCGGUUUGUCGCGUCGAAUGUGAAAACCCGGGGCUCAACCCCGGGCCUGCAUUCGAUACGGGCAGACUAGAGUUCGGUAGGGGAGUCUGGAAUUCCUGGUGUAGCGGUGAAAUGCGCAGAUAUCAGGAGGAACACCGGUGGCGAAGGCGGGUCUCUGGGCCGAUACUGACGCUGAGGAGCGAAAGCGUGGGGAGCGAACAGG